This 470-nucleotide ribosomal RNA is filed under the name uncultured Gammaproteobacteria bacterium. Its description in RNAcentral is "bacterial SSU rRNA". It matches the Rfam family "Bacterial small subunit ribosomal RNA", at positions 62 to 524 of the family's 1533-position model. The record is from RNAcentral. Lineage: Bacteria; Pseudomonadati; Pseudomonadota; Gammaproteobacteria.
UCGAGCGGAAACGAUGGGAGCUUGCUCCCAGGCGUCGAGCGGCGGACGGGUGAGUAACGCGUAGGAAUCUACCCAGUAGCGGGGGAUAGCCAGUGGAAACGCUGAUUAAUACCGCAUACGCCCCACGGGGGAAAGGCCGGGAUCUUCGGACCGGUCACUAUUGGAGGAGCCUGCGUUGGAUUAGCUAGUUGGUGAGGUAAAGGCUCACCAAGGCCACGAUCCAUAGCUGGUCUGAGAGGACGAUCAGCCACACUGGAACUGAGACACGGUCCAGACUCCUACGGGAGGCAGCAGUAGGGAAUAUUGCACAAUGGGCGAAAGCCUGAUGCAGCCAUGCCGCGUGUGUGAAGAAGGCCUUAGGGUUGUAAAGCACUUUCAGUAAGGAAGAAAAAGUUGGGCUAAUAACCUGAUCUUAUGACAUUACUUACAGAAGAAGAUCCGGCUAACUCCGUGCCAGCAGCCGCGGUAAU